GUGAAUCAUCAAAUCUUUGAACGCAAAUUGCACUCCCUGGUAUUCCUUGGAGUAUGCCUGCUUGAGUAUCGUUAAAUUAAAAAUCGAGGCCUCUCUCUUUUUUUGUUGAUGAUUUCGUUGGAAUUGAGCGGUCUUUCAAAUGUUAAUUCUUUUCAAAUUUUCUUAAAAUUCAUCCAUCCUCUACAAUUAAAUCGU
This 195-nucleotide unclassified non-coding RNA is filed under the name Glomeromycetes sp. Its description in RNAcentral is "partial internal transcribed spacer 2". The stretch from base 1 to 71 matches the Rfam family "5.8S ribosomal RNA", at positions 84 to 154 of the family's 154-position model. Lineage: Eukaryota; Fungi; Glomeromycota; Glomeromycetes. The record is from RNAcentral.